ACCUGGUUGAUCCUGGCAGUAGUCAUAUGGUUGUCUCAAAGAUUAAGCCAUGCAUGUCUCAGUAUAAAUUAUUUUACGGCGAAACUGCGAAUGGCUCAUUAAAACAGUUAUAGUUUACUUGAUGGCACUUACUAGUUGGAUAACUGUAGUAAUUCUAGAGCUAAUGCAUGCGUUCAAACCCGACUUCGAGGGAGGGUUGUGCUUAUUAGAUACUGAACCAACCCGCUUCGGCGGUUGUAGUUGAUUCAUAGUAUUCCAGCGAAUCGCUUGCCGAUGAAUCAUUCAAGUUUCUGACCUAUCAGCUUUCGAUGGUAAGGUAUUGGCCUACCAUGGCUUUGACGGGUAACGGAGAAUUAGGGUUCGAUUCCGGAGAGGGAGCCUGAGAAAUGGCUACCACAUCUAAGGAAGGGAGCAGGGCGCGUAAAUUACCCAAUCCUGACACAGGGAGGUAGUGACAAGAAAUACCAAUACAAAACUUAUAUGUUCUGUAAUUGGAAUGAGAACAAUCUAAACCCAUUACCGAGUAUCCAUGGAGGGGCAAGUCUGGUGCCAGCAGCCCGGCGGUAAUUCCAGCUCCAAUAGCGUAUAUUAAAAUUGUUGCGGUUAAAACGCUCGUAGUUGGAUAUUUGUUGAAGAAUGUCGGUCCACCCUAGCGGUGCGUACUCGAUAUGUCUUCGACAUCUUACUGGGGACAGUAAUUCCACUUUAUUGCGGGGUUGCACGAUCCAGAACUUUUACUUUGAGGAAAUGAGAGUGUUUCAAGCAGGCCACUGCCAUGAAUACGUUAGCAUGGAAUAAUAGCAUAGGACCUUGUGUCGUAGUGUUGGUGACGACAUAAGGUAAUAAAAAUAGGGAUAGUUGGGGGCGUUCGUAUUCAAUGUCAGAGGUGAAAUUCUUGGAUUUUGGCAAGACGACUACUGCGAAAGCAUUUGCCAAGGAUGUUUUUAUUAAUCAAGAACGAAAGUUAGGGGAUCGAAGACGAUCAGAUACCGUCGUAGUCCUGACCAUAAACUAUGCCGACUAGAGAUUGGAGGAUGUCAUCAUAAGAUUCCUUCAGCAACUUGAGAGAAAUCAAAGUCUUUGGGUUCCGGAGUAUGGUCGCAAGGCUGAAACUUAAA
This 1118-nucleotide ribosomal RNA is filed under the name uncultured marine Syndiniales. RNAcentral describes it as "SSU rRNA". It matches the Rfam family "Eukaryotic small subunit ribosomal RNA", at positions 1 to 1148 of the family's 1831-position model. The record is from RNAcentral. Lineage: Eukaryota; Dinophyceae; Syndiniales.